RNAcentral lists this long non-coding RNA (1872 nucleotides) under Homo sapiens (human). Its description in RNAcentral is "HSALNT0310171". The record is from RNAcentral. Lineage: Eukaryota; Metazoa; Chordata; Mammalia; Primates; Hominidae.
AUAAGUACACCAUAUAACAAAUUAAGAUUAAAAACCAUGUAAUUCUAUUAGUUGGUGCAGAAAAAGCAUUUAACCAAAUUCAACACUCAUUUAUAUUAAAGACACUCAACCUAUUAAGAAUAGAGGGGAACUACUUCAAUUUAAUAAUGAACAACAAUAAAACAUCUAUAGCUAAAAUUGUACUUAAUGGUAAAUGACUUAAUGCUUUCCCCUAAGAUUGGGAGCAAGGCAAUGAUGUUCACUUUCUCUGCUCUUAUUCCACAUAGUACUGGAGGUUUUAGCUAUUGCAGUUGAGGCAUACAGAUUAGAAAGGGAGAAAUAAAAAUGUCUCUGUUUGUAGAUAUCAUGAUUAUCUACAUAGAAAAUAUAUUCCCCCUUAAAUGUAUACAAAGAAAAAAAGCACUGUAAAAUACUAUAAAAUGUUAUCGUGACACAUAAACUUUCAGAAUCAUUCAAUAAUAAGCAACAAUAAAAUAAAAUAAACCUUUAAAACUUAAUCAGCCAAUCUUGAGGGUCCUCUCUUUGGCUCUUCUCAUUUGCUUGCUCUGAUAAAUCAAGUUGAUAUGAUAUGAGUUGCUUCAUGGAGAGGGCAGAAGGUAUAGGACUGAAUCCUGCCAUAAAAUUAUGUAAAGGAGCUUGGAUACAGACCCUUCCCUACUGGAGCCUUGAGAUGAGACCAUAGCUCCAGCCAACUCCAUGACUGCAGCCCUCUGACAGAUCCUAAGUCAAAAGAUCCUGCUGAACCACAUCCAUACACUUGACCUACACAAGCCAUGAGAUAGUAAAUGUUGUGGGUUCAAGUCACCACAUUUUGGGAUGAUUUGUUAUGCAGCGAUAGAUAUCUAAUACAAUCUCUAUCUUUAUAUUAUUCAGGAAGUCAUUAAAGAAGCAACCCAUGGCAAAACUAGUUAUUUUCUUAAAACAGUAGGAAGAAGAAAAGCUUUUUGAAUGAAUCACUUCUCAUCUUCUCCGAAGUUGGAAGCAUCAAGAAUCUAAAUAAGCAUUUAUGAUGGCUGGCAUGAAUAUGCGGAAGAUAGAAUGGGAGUCCUAGUUGACCUUCAUAUAAUUUUUAGAAGAUGGAGCACUUCAACUUCUUCCACUCAUGAAAAGAGAGGUGACAGGUGAAGACAGAACAAGAAAACAAACCAAGAAUUUCCCCUCACCAGCCACCAGCUCUGCCAGCAACUUGAUCUUAGACUUCCCAGCCUCCGUAACGUCUUCCUCCUAAAAACCUGUAACCUCAAUCUAAUCAUGAGAAAAGACAUCAGGCAAAUCCCAACUGAGGGAGAUUUUACAUAGUACCUGAGCAGUACUCCUCAAAACUGUCAAGGUCAUCAAAAACAAAGAAGUAUGAAAAACUGUCACAGCCAAGAGGAACUUAAGGAAACAUAAUAAUUAAAGCCUCUGCUUAUAAUCUGUCAUGGAUUGGAAAACUAGAAAAAACAGUUUACAGAGUAUAACAAACUUUGGAGGAGUUAAUCGACUCUAAGUAAAAGAGUAUCUAGCACGGCUGUGGAACAAAGGAGAGACUCACAAACUGUUGAAAGAAUAAAUGAAUGAAUGAAUUCUGUUCAUGAGCUUUAAUAAAACAGCUCUGAGUAGUAACAGUGGAUCAAAUUUAGGCUUCUUGAUGCAGGCAUGGUGUAGAUUACUACUUCUGUAUUGUCCCAGGAGCUCAGCACAUUCCUGCAGAGAUGAUAGGAGCUCAUCUGAUACUUGUCAGCUUUGAAUAAACUCCAGUCCCCAAGAGAGAGAAUGAGAAUCACCGGAAUACGAAACUUCCCUGUUGGACUUCCCAACAUUCUUGAAUGCACCAAGAUAGCCUCUUGCUGUGAGAUUAAUAAAUGAAUAAAUGCCUCCAUAUUUUUCAAA